AUUCCCUUCAGGCUUUUUGCUGUAAACAUGGUCUUUUCAGAAAGAAUGCAGUGUUUACAUUACAGCCUAGUGAUAACUCCACUGGCCACUCCUCGGAUGGCUGCUAGAGCUGCUUCCUAUCUCAGUCUUGCCUAGUUUGAAUCACAACAUUCAGUAGCUCCUCCCUCUGCAUGCAGACACUGAACUUUCCUCAUAGAGAUUGAUUGAUUGGCCAGGGCUGUGUUUGAAUUGUGUUGGCUCUUCCCCUAAUUUGCCUCCUUGACAG
Pelobates cultripes (western spadefoot toad) is the source of this 265-nucleotide non-coding RNA. Lineage: Eukaryota; Metazoa; Chordata; Amphibia; Anura; Pelobatidae. The record is from the annotation of a GenBank genome assembly.